Molecule: ribosomal RNA, 469 nt
Filed under: uncultured bacterium
Lineage: Bacteria
Description: bacterial SSU rRNA
Rfam family: Bacterial small subunit ribosomal RNA
Source: RNAcentral
AUGAACGCUGGCGGCGUGUCUAAGGCAUGCAAGUCAAACGGUCUACUUUCUGUAGCAAUACAGAGAGCAAGACAGUGGCAAACGGGAGAGCAACACCCUGGUAACCUACCUCAAAGUUCGGAAUAACUUCGCGAAAGCGAGGCUAAUACUGGAUGUAGUUAUCCGACGUAAGUUGGAUAAAAAAAGCCCUAAAGGCGCUUUGAGAAGGACCUAGGUUCCAUCAGCUAGUUGGUAGGGUAAUGGCCUACCAAGGCUACGACGGAUAGGGGACGUGAGAGCGUGACCCCCCUCACUGGGACUGAGACACUGCCCAGACUCCUACGGGAGGCUGCAGUCAAGAAUAUUCCUCAAUGGACGAAAGUCUGAAGGAGCGACGCCGCGUGUAGGAAGAAGCCCUUCGGGGUGUAAACUACUUUUCUAUGGGAAGAAUUUCGACGGUACCAUAGGAAUCAGGGGUUGCUAACUCUGU